UUGCUUGGUGGUAUACGGCUGGGAUUAAAUUUAUAUUUAGCUCAGUUGGGUAUUAUCAAUGUGACCGUUUGAAAAUGCUGUUUUGUUUGUACUACGCGUAAUAGGCUGGUUUCUCCUAGCAUCAAAUAGAAGUCUCGCAAGCUUAGAUGCCUGAAGUCUGUUGAACAAUAUUUUAUUUUAUCUUGCGAUCCGCCUGUGGAUCUUUUACUUUCCGUUUGUAAUACUUGGAUAUUACUUCAUAUCGGAUUGUAAUAUAUU
This 258-nucleotide long non-coding RNA is filed under the name Helianthus annuus (common sunflower). RNAcentral's name for it is "hypothetical non coding rna". Lineage: Eukaryota; Viridiplantae; Streptophyta; Magnoliopsida; Asterales; Asteraceae. The record is from RNAcentral.